RNAcentral lists this ribosomal RNA (381 nucleotides) under uncultured eukaryote. RNAcentral describes it as "SSU rRNA". It matches the Rfam family "Eukaryotic small subunit ribosomal RNA", at positions 587 to 972 of the family's 1831-position model. The record is from RNAcentral.
AGCUCCAAUAGCGUAUAUUAAAGUUGUUGCAGUUAAAAAGCUCGUAGUCGGAUUUCGGGUCGGGCCGAGCGGUCUGCCGAUGGGUAUGCACUGGCCGGCGCGUCCUUCCUUUCGGAGACCGUGCCUGCUCUUAACUGAGUGGGUUCGGGAGACGAAUCGUUUACUUUGAAAAAAUCAGAGUGUUUCAAGCAGGCAGCUCGCUCUUGCAUGGAUUAGCAUGGGAUAAUGAAAUAGGACUUUGGUGCUAUUUUGUUGGUUUCGAACACCGAAGUAAUGAUUAACAGGGACAGUCAGGGGCACUCGUAUUCCGUAGAGAGAGGUGAAAUUCUCAGACCCACGGAAGACGAACCACUGCGAAAGCAUUUGCCAGGGAUGUUUUCA